CUUUUAACUACAGACAAAACUACAACAUCCAAGCCUGGACUAAUUGAUGCCAUUGACUUUAUCUAAAACCAAGGUUGUGGUAAAACAAUUUAGAGCAAAGUUCUUUUCAAUGGUUUCUCAUAGCUACUCUGCCUUUUUAAUUUGAUCAUCUUCCACUUGAUCUUCUUUGUGUCACGAAUCUUCGAUUGAUUUUCUACAUAAACCUUAUCAGGCGAGUUUAAGUCAUCUUGUGCUCAUUCGUUCACCUCAGCAUUCCCAUCACUUGAGUUAUGUUUUACUUUUGUUAAUGCUCAAUGCUCUACAUUUACUAACAUAGACAAUUUCUGCUUUCAUAGUUUUUCGACAUUGAUUGUUAAAAUAUAGAAACGAGAGACAUAAUGCUGAAACCGUUAUUGUUUAGUAAUAUGAUCAAUUUAGUAUCAUGCCCAAGUUAUGCAAUAGUGUCAUUAUAAUCUUUGUCAUAGAUUUGUGUGCAUCGAGCUUUAUAGCAAAUCAUUUUACCGUAAGUUGUUGUUUUAAGAGUCUAUAACUACUAAUACCUUACAAUUGAGCGCCAAUUGGAAGACGAAUUAACUCUCAGACCACUACUUUGAAGGCCACAUAUUUCAUCGAUCAUAGCUUGUCACCACUCUAGGUGGGUUUAAACUACACUUGGAGACUUAUGAAUAGGAACAAAAGAUAACAAGGACAAACAAGUAUGAUGUAUGGUGGAAAGUUGAUGAUAACUAAGCUUAGUAUACUGGAGAGAAGGAUUACGGUACAAGUAGAUUAUUUACUUUUUCAAAUAGCAGUUGCCUUCAUUUUUAGAGGAGACUAGAUCCAAUAUGUUAGAUAGUGUUGAGAUAGGAUCAAACAUGACCUCUAUAUCAUUAUCCAUCGAAGAUAGGUCGGUCCCAUACACAUGAAGAGCGGUCAAAAGAGCAUCUCGAGUUGUGACAAAGUCAUGUGGUAGUGAUGAAGGAAGAUUGGUAGUGUGAGAAAGUAAGUACAUGUCAUCAUUAUAUGUGUAUUACAUAACAGACUCAAAGAAAGAGAAGCCGAUAGACACAAAAUAUCGGUCAAGAUAAGGAGAGAAACAUCAAUACCUUUUUGAGAGAAACAUCAAUACCUUCUUUUGAGAACGAUGAUGUCCCAUGAAGGCAAAUUUGAACAACCAAUUAGGAAGUUUGUCUUGACUAGGUGUGAGGUUAUGUACAAAACAUGUGGUACCAAAACAAGUGGAGGAAGACAAUAUAGACGGGAAUGAGGAAAAGGAUAGAGUGAGAUACUUGAUCAUUAAGGAAAGAUGAUGACAUUCAGUUAAUGAGAUAGUACAUAGUAAUGACAACAUCCCACCAUAAACAGUGAGGAAGAUGACUAUGAAGAAGUGUUCAUGUAAUUUCAAUCAGAUGUCUGUUUUUGUGUUCAACUACUCCAUUUUGUUGAAGAGUAUGAGGACACAAA
Long non-coding RNA from Vigna unguiculata (cowpea), 1443 nucleotides. The record is from RefSeq and is a predicted model, not a curated record. Lineage: Eukaryota; Viridiplantae; Streptophyta; Magnoliopsida; Fabales; Fabaceae.